Molecule: ribosomal RNA, 922 nt
Filed under: uncultured bacterium
Lineage: Bacteria
Description: bacterial SSU rRNA
Rfam family: Bacterial small subunit ribosomal RNA
Source: RNAcentral
ACGCUGGCGGCGUGCCUAAUACAUGCAAGUCGAACGAGAGCGACCGGUGCUUGCACUGGUCAAUCUAGUGGCGAACGGGUGAGUAACACGUGGGUAACCUGCCCAUCAGAGGGGGAUAACAUUCGGAAACGGAUGCUAAAACCGCAUAGGUUCUUGAGUCGCAUGACCCGAGAAGGAAAAGAGGCUUCGGCUUCUGCUGAUGGAUGGACCCGCGGUGCAUUAGCUAGUUGGUGAGGUAACGGCUCACCAAGGCCGUGAUGCAUAGCCGACCUGAGAGGGUGAUCGGCCACAUUGGGACUGAGACACGGCCCAAACUCCUACGGGAGGCAGCAGUAGGGAAUCUUCCGCAAUGGACGCAAGUCUGACGGAGCAACGCCGCGUGAGUGAAGAAGGAUUUCGGUUCGUAAAACUCUGUUGUUAGAGAAGAACAGCGCAUAGAGUAACUGUUAUGCGUGUGACGGUAUCUAACCAGAAAGCCACGGCUAACUACGUGCCAGCAGCCGCGGUAAUACGUAGGUGGCAAGCGUUGUCCGGAUUUAUUGGGCGUAAAGCGAGCGCAGGCGGUCAAUUAAGUCUGAUGUGAAAGCCCCCGGCUCAACCGGGGAGGGUCAUUGGAAACUGGUUGACUUGAGUGCAGAAGAGGAGAGUGGAAUUCCAUGUGUAGCGGUGAAAUGCGUAGAUAUAUGGAGGAACACCAGUGGCGAAGGCGACUCUCUGGUCUGUAACUGACGCUGAGGCUCGAAAGCGUGGGUAGCAAACAGGAUUAGAUACCCUGGUAGUCCACGCCGUAAACGAUGAGUGCUAAGUGUUGGAGGGUUUCCGCCCUUCAGUGCUGCAGUUAACGCAUUAAGCACUCCGCCUGGGGAGUACGACCGCAAGGUUGAAACUCAAAGGAAUUGACGGGGACCCGCACAAGCGGUGG